RNAcentral lists this unclassified non-coding RNA (1534 nucleotides) under Leishmania donovani. RNAcentral describes it as "gene:LdHU3.19.1850(CDS-product:eukaryotic_transla tion_initiation_factor-like_protein)". Lineage: Eukaryota; Euglenozoa; Kinetoplastea; Trypanosomatida; Trypanosomatidae. The record is from RNAcentral.
GAACCGCCUAGACAGAGGAGAAAAAACUUAUACACAGAAGCUGCAGGCGUUGCUCAGAUAGACGGAAGAAGUCCCUGGCUCAUGAAGGGACACACACUCUCACCUUUCACCACAGUUAUCGAGAGCGCUCUCAGCAUCAUACACAUAGACUGAUAGACAUUGCAUCAGUUUUUUUUUUCUUCUUCGUGAAGUGCGUUUCAUUUCUAGCUUUGCCGCGCACCCCGACGCUAUGGAUCCGAAUAGACGUGCCCCGGCGAGUACUGUAACAGAUGAGCAGCCGCUUACUCUGCUGUGGGGGACGUGGGAGAUGUGGUGCGACAUGCCGCAGCGACAGCAAGGCCAGGGCACAGAAAAUACCAACUGGCUGGAGCAAGUGAAGAGUAUUGGCUUGUUCGACAGUGCCGAGGGCUUCUGGGGAAUUUUCAACUGCACCAUCCUGCCAUCGCAGCUUCCACCGAACGGCUCCUAUUACCUUUUCCGAAAACACAUUGCCCCAAUGUGGGAGCACGAGGCAAACCGCAGAGGCGGAAAGUGGGUGAUUCCCUUUACCGGCAAGUCGUCGCGGAGUGAGGGCGAUUUGCAGCCGGUCGAUGAGGCCUGGCAGACACUGUGCCUCUCUGCGAUUGGGGAGCUCUUUCCCGGUGACGAGGAGGAGGUCUGCGGCGUCACUGUGAGUCGCGGGAGGCAGCGCACCUUGCCCUCUGGCCAUGCGACGUCUGUGCUAAGUGAGUGGAAGCUUUGCCUGUGGACUCGCAGUGCCGACAACAGGGGAUCUCAAAUGCGCAUUGCAGAGUACAUUCGCAAGCAACUGCACUUACAGUCCCUGUCGAAGGAAACCAGCAGGGAUGGAAAAAGCGGCGAAAAUGACACACUGAUGGAGAUGCCGCGGUCUCCAGACCGUUCUCCAGUUGCCAAGACGCGAGAGGCGUCUAGUAUUCCGUCAGCAAUGACCUAUGUGGCGCACCGGGACUUGAUGGAGGCAAAGCAGGAGUUUGUAAAGGGCGGCAGCAGCGUUGCUCAAGCGUUCAGGCCCAAGUACACUCUUGCAAUCGAUGUGAGGGGUGAAGCUGUGUGAUACUACACCUCGACCCGUCAACCUCAGUGUGUGUCGCUUGUCAGGUAUUCCUUUAUCUGCGAGUUUUGUGUCUUUUUGAGCCCCUAGCGUCACGCGUACAAGCGCACUGCAACUUGCUAGAUGAUUGGUACACGUCCUCGCCUCAUUUGGCCAAUCGAGUAGGAAGAGGCUUGCCGCCCUUUCUCAUUUGAUCACCAUAUCUUUAGACAUCAGAGUAUUCGGUUGCUACCUUGUGUUCCGGAGCACUCAAAUACGAAAACCUUCAGAGAAGGCAGAAAAGUGCCCUCACACGCGUGUUCCCUCUACUCUCUCGCCCGGGAGCGUGGGUUCACUUGCGAAUGUGUUACAACCGCGCCGCCCUCCAUGAUCAUAAUACUCAUUGGCAAAGAAUGUGCCCUCAUUUGUAUCACGCCAUCGGCUCUUUCCUACGCUCGGUGGCAUUUUCUCCGUAACAUAGUG